CAAAUUUAAAAUCUGGCUGGUUUACUAGUCCGAGUUGUAGUUUAAAGAAGCGUUUUCGGUGGCAGUCUCGGUAUAAAUCCUUUGGAAUAGGGUAUCAUAGAGGGUGAGAAUCCCGUCUUUGACUGAGAAUAUGCUACUAUGUGAUACGUUUUCAAAGAGUCGAGUUGUUUGGGAAUGCAGCUCAAAAUGGGUGGUAAAUUUCAUCUAAGGCUAAAUAUUGGCGAGAGACCGAUAGCGAACAAGUACCGUGAGGGAAAGAUGAAAAGAACUUUGAAAAGAGAGUUAAACAGUGCGUGAAAUUGUUAAAAGGGAAACGCUUGAAACCAGUCAUGCGGUUGGGAAAUCAGUCUCUGACAAGGGGGAAUGGGAGAGGUGUGGACCGCAAGGCCGCUCUUUUUCAUAUCUUUCGUGGCAGGGAUGCACUUUUUCUUCUGCAGGUCAACAUCAGUUUGCUUUGCCGGACAAAACUCUUGGAAAGGUGAUAGCUUAGGCUAUGUUAUAGUCCAAGAGCGAUACGGUGGAGCGGACUGAGGCUUUCGCAGCAUGUGCUCUCGGGCAAGGCUGAUUGGGUGCUAUGGGAUCGUUCAGAGUACAAUACAUGUAUUUUGCUUUGUGUCUUUUCUAUACUCGCUCAACUCGGCUCUUCCAUGCUUAGGAUGUUGACAUAAUGGUUCUAAUCGACCCGUCUUGAAACACGGACCAAGGAGUCUAACAUAUAUGCAAGUGUUUGGGUGGCAAACCCAUGCGCGUAAUGAAAGUGAACGUAGGUGCCAUCCGCAAGGUGCAGCAUCGACCGAUCUUGAUAUUUUUGGAUAGAUUUGAGUAAGAGCAUAUAUGCUGGGACCCGAAA
RNAcentral lists this ribosomal RNA (850 nucleotides) under uncultured fungus. RNAcentral describes it as "eukaryotic LSU rRNA". It matches the Rfam family "Eukaryotic large subunit ribosomal RNA", at positions 110 to 821 of the family's 3401-position model. The record is from RNAcentral. Lineage: Eukaryota; Fungi.